RNAcentral lists this ribosomal RNA (460 nucleotides) under uncultured bacterium. Its description in RNAcentral is "partial 16S ribosomal RNA". It matches the Rfam family "Bacterial small subunit ribosomal RNA", at positions 338 to 795 of the family's 1533-position model. The record is from RNAcentral.
CCUACGGGCGGCUGCAGUGAGGAAUAUUGGUCAAUGGACGAGAGUCUGAACCAGCCAAGUAGCGUGAAGGAUGACUGCCCUAUGGGUUGUAAACUUCUUUUAUAUGGGAAUAAAAUGUUCCACGUGUGGGAUUUUGUAUGUACCAUAUGAAUAAGGAUCGGCUAACUCCGUGCCAGCAGCCGCGGUAAUAUGGAGGAUCCGAGCGUUAUCCGGAUUUAUUGGGUUUAAAGGGAGCGUAGGUGGAUUGUUAAGUCAGUUGUGAAAGUUUGCGGCUCAACCGUAAAAUUGCAGUUGAAACUGGCAGUCUUGAGUACAGUAGAGGUGGGCGGAAUUCGUGGUGUAGCGGUGAAAUGCUUAGAUAUCACGAAGAACUCCGAUUGCGAAGGCAGUUCACUGGACUGCAACUGACACUGAGGCUCGAAAGUGUGGGUAUCAAACAGGAUUAGAUACCCGUGUAGUC